Molecule: ribosomal RNA, 774 nt
Filed under: uncultured Neocallimastigales
Lineage: Eukaryota; Fungi; Neocallimastigomycota; Neocallimastigomycetes; Neocallimastigales
Description: partial large subunit ribosomal RNA
Rfam family: Eukaryotic large subunit ribosomal RNA
Source: RNAcentral
CGCAUCUGUGCAUGCAGCAUAUCAAUAAGCGGAGGAAAAGAAACUAACAAGGAUUCCCCUAGUAACGGCGAGUGAAGCGGGAAGAGCUCAAAUUUGAAAUCUUAAAGGGUUUCCCUUUACGAAUUGUAGUUUAAAGAAGUGUUUUCUGUUGAGGUUUUGGUAAAAGUUCUUUGGAAUAGGACAUCAUAGAGGGUGAGAAUCCCGUAUUUGACCUUUACUUUCAACUUUGUGAUACACUUUCAAAGAGUCGGAUUGUUUGGGAAUGCAGUCCAAAAUGGGUGGUAAAUUUCAUCUAAAGCUAAAUAUUGGCGAGGGACCGAUAGCGAACAAGUACCGUGAGGGAAAGAUGAAAAGAACUUUGAAAAGAGAGUUAAACAGUACGUGAAAUUGUCAAAAGGGAAGCGUUUGACAUCCAGUGUUGUUUUUCUGAAAAUCAAUUAAAGAACUGUUUAUGCUAAGUUGUUUAGACUUUAUCAGCUAACUGUUUAGUUUUGAGCUUUUCUUUAAUGCACUUUUCAGUUAACAAGUCAACAUCAAUUUCUUUUGCUGUAAAAAAGCUUGAGGAAGGUGGCUUGAGAUUCGUCUUAAGUGUUUAUAGCCUCUUGCCUAUGCAGUCGGAGAGAUUGAGGUCUGCAGCGUAGAUCCUUCGGGGCUAAAUGCAUUUGUGCUAAGUUAUAGCAUUUUAUAGACAACUUGUUGACUAUGAUUUGUCUUGUAGCUUACUCGCUUAUGUUAUUUUACCUACGCUUAGGAUGUUGACGAGACUGUCGAUCU